GGUGGGUUCAGUUCACUUCAGUCCUGUUUUAGUUCAGUGUUGAAGUCCUAGUGUGGCGAUGCCUUUUGCUAAUUAAACUAAAAAAAUUUGACAGAAUUGAAUCCUGCUACGGAUGGAUCCGAAUAUAUUUUAAGUGUUUUAUUACCCUCGGGGCCGUCUUCCAGGCGCACAGGCUCGAGUAGCAGAACCGUUACAUUAGUAAACAUGAAGUCCGAGAGGUACGACAUCAUUUUUCAGGCUCUCCUCUUGAUUCACAUCCCUGUAGCCUGCCUCUUCACUGCAGUGUCUGCUCAGUCUGACAGCAGCAGCGUGGUGGUGGCAGGGUAUAAUGUGAGCGCCUCCGCUGGGUCGAGGGUGGUGCUGCAGUGUGUGAGUGGCCGCAUGGUGUGGACCAGGGACAGGGUGAGGGACAGGCAGAGGGUGGUCCACUGGGACAUGUUCCGGGCCAGUCCAGAUUACGCAAUGGAGAGGGUGCUGGACAUGUUCUCCACAGGGGACAAGAGGAUCUACAACUCCUACAACCAGGGUAGGGUUGGCCUCAGCCCAAGAGCCUUCAGCGAUGGAAACUUCUCCCUCGUCAUCAAAGACGUAGCAAUGAAUGACAGAGGCCUGUACUCCUGUAACCUCCACCACCUCUACUGCCACCUGUACGAGACAGUCCGAGUGCAACUCAACGUCACUAAGUCACGUCGUAAGGCGCAGCGCUUCUGGGACGGCCAAAAGGCUGUGUACGUGGUGCUGCUCGGCAGUACUGUGGUGCUGCCGUGCAUCAACCGGCGUAACGUGUGGACGGACUGGAGCGACGAGGAGGAGGAUCAGCAAGUGGUCCAUUGGGACCGUCAGUCCCCGGGAGUCCGCCGCGACCGAGCUGACCGCCUGGUGGACCUGUACGCCUCGGGGGAACAACGAAGCUACGGGCCGCUGUUCCUCCAGAGGAAGAUGAACCUCAGCAAUCAAGCCUUCUCGGAGGGAGACUUUUCUCUUUCCAUAUCUGAUCUGCAGCUCACAGACCAGGGGAUGUAUUCCUGCCACCUUCACCACCAUUACUGUGGUCUCCAUGAGAGGAGAGAGUUUCAGGUAACAGUGGAAGCACCAGUGAUUCAGACCAUACCGCCAGCCAAAGCACUGCCCAGUGAAGACAAAGACACCAAGAAGGACGAAUCCCCGCGAGUCAUCAAAGUGAUUCUGCCCGACCAGAGGCAACACUUCCUAAUGCCACUGGGCUACAUCCUCACCUCCUUCCUGCUCCUGGCCUUUAUUAUCCUCAUCAUCAUCCUCAUCACACGAAGACAGAGGACCAGAGCAAUGAGGUGUCUCUUUCUUACUGUGUUAGGUCCAGCAGAAGUCACAGUAGCUCGGAAGACUUUGAGAUAGGCGUUACUGAAGUGAGCGCAUGCAGUCGAGAGGAGAGAAGGUUUGACUUUAAGAACAACCUGCUGCAAGAGAAGGUACAAAUGAAGACUCUCGCUAAAGUCAUUGAUCUUGACAAUGAGAUGCAGAAAUUUUCAAAGUGAGGAGAAGUGGAACUGGAGUCUCUGGCUGGUCCAGCCACAGACUUAACACCCUCUGUCCGGACAGGAGACAGGCAAGAGACAAAAUGUUAUUAACUUCAGAAAAAGCAGUAAACAUAGCUUACAUGCUCACACGUUUUUUUUCUUUCUUCAAAUUGUCCGUAUUAGUAACGAAGAUAAGCAGAUUUUGUUUAAAUUGUGCUCAAUCAGAAAAAACAAAACAAAAAACACUUGACUCGGCCCAAAACAGGAUAACAACGCCACCCAGAGGCGAAUCCAAAAUGUAAAGCAGUCGCCUCGACUGUUAAAUGAAGGAGCAAGUGUGGAUGAAUUGAAUUGCGUAAAGUUGAAUAAUGGGUUAUUACAGCAUUUGGUCAAAGUACCUCAAAAUAUUUUUGUACUUUUUUUCUUACUCACAUAUUCAUUUUCGCUUAGCCCCUGAUUAGUGUGGACUAAUUCCUGUAGGCUUUGAUUAACUGAAUGCUAACGGACCAUUGAUGCAGUGUAUGUAAAAAUGUAUCAUUACGAUGCUCAGACUAUAUUUUUUGGUUUGUUCCAUUUUAAAUGUAUUAAAAUUCAAUUAUUAAAACUUGUUUAACUGAA
This is a non-coding RNA of Gasterosteus aculeatus aculeatus (three-spined stickleback), 2114 nucleotides long. The record is from RefSeq and is a predicted model, not a curated record. NCBI's taxonomy places the organism in Eukaryota, Metazoa, Chordata, Actinopteri, Perciformes, Gasterosteidae.